Long non-coding RNA from Juglans microcarpa x Juglans regia, 507 nucleotides. RefSeq lists it as uncharacterized. The transcript is spliced from 2 exons. Lineage: Eukaryota; Viridiplantae; Streptophyta; Magnoliopsida; Fagales; Juglandaceae. The record is from RefSeq and is a predicted model, not a curated record.
GUUAUAUAACAUCCUGCAUGGCAUUACUUUUCCUUUUUUUUCCUCACACAAGGUCUUGGCGGGACUAAAGUCUUGGCAGGAUGUUUAACCAAAAAAAAAAAAAAAAAUCCAAAAAUUUUCUGAGAGAUACACUGCACCUCACCUCGUCUCUUCUGCCCCAAUUUUCAAACCCAAAAUCUAGCCACCACCAUUCACACCAGUGCCAAAGGACAAUGGAGAUGUUUAGUGUGAGCUCUGUUGAGCACACCAUGUGGUCAUACUCUGUCAUGGAAGUUUUGCAACGAAGAUUGUUUUUGCUGUUGGGAAGUCUUUCGUGCGGCCUUCUGGUAUAGUUUCAUGUGUUAGCUUUUUUUCUUUUCACCAUGGUUUAUUUCCACAAAUUGUUUUUUUUUCUUGAUAUAUUGCUCUAUUUUUUCGUUAAAGUCAAAAUAUCUGUUUACUUUUCGCGUCCAAUGCAUGAAACCUAUUUAGUGGCCCAACAAAUAGCUGUAAGGAGACUUUUUAUUU